CCAGGAGUUGCCGUGGGUGGCCGCCACCCACCCGCGGCCCCCCCCUCGCCGAUGGUCUCCCCGCCGGACCAUCGCCACCCACGUCACCUCCCGCC
This 95-nucleotide microRNA precursor is filed under the name Cordylochernes scorpioides. Lineage: Eukaryota; Metazoa; Arthropoda; Arachnida; Pseudoscorpiones; Chernetidae. The record is from RNAcentral.